UGCCUACGGGAGGCAGCAGUGAGGAAUAUUGGUCAAUGGGCUUACGCCUGAAUCAGCCAAGUCGCGUGAGGGAAGACUGCCCUAUGGGUUGUAAACCUCUUUUGUCAGGGAGCAAUUGGCGCUACGUGUAGCGUUAUCGAGAGUACCUGAAGAAAAAGCAUCGGCUAAAUACGUGCCAGCAGCCGCGGUAAUACGUAUGGGGCAAGCGUUAUCCGGAUUUACUGGGUGUAAAGGGAGCGCAGGCGGCCUGGCAAGCCUGAUGUGAAAUACCGGGGCCCAACCCCGGGGCUGCAUUGGGAACUGCC
RNAcentral lists this ribosomal RNA (305 nucleotides) under uncultured bacterium. Its description in RNAcentral is "bacterial SSU rRNA". It matches the Rfam family "Bacterial small subunit ribosomal RNA", at positions 335 to 637 of the family's 1533-position model. The record is from RNAcentral.